RNAcentral lists this ribosomal RNA (888 nucleotides) under uncultured bacterium. RNAcentral describes it as "bacterial SSU rRNA". It matches the Rfam family "Bacterial small subunit ribosomal RNA", at positions 34 to 917 of the family's 1533-position model. The record is from RNAcentral.
CGCUGGCGGCAGGCCUAACACAUGCAAGUCGAGCGGAUGAAGGGAGCUUGCUCCUGGAUUCAGCGGCGGACGGGUGAGUAAUGCCUAGGAAUCUGCCUGGUAGUGGGGGAUAACGUCCGGAAACGGGCGCUAAUACCGCAUACGUCCUGAGGGAGAAAGUGGGGGAUCUUCGGACCUCACGCUAUCAGAUGAGCCUAGGUCGGAUUAGCUAGUUGGUGGGGUAAAGGCCUACCAAGGCGACGAUCCGUAACUGGUCUGAGAGGAUGAUCAGUCACACUGGAACUGAGACACGGUCCAGACUCCUACGGGAGGCAGCAGUGGGGAAUAUUGGACAAUGGGCGAAAGCCUGAUCCAGCCAUGCCGCGUGUGUGAAGAAGGUCUUCGGAUUGUAAAGCACUUUAAGUUGGGAGGAAGGGCAGUAAGUUAAUACCUUGCUGUUUUGACGUUACCAACAGAAUAAGCACCGGCUAACUUCGUGCCAGCAGCCGCGGUAAUACGAAGGGUGCAAGCGUUAAUCGGAAUUACUGGGCGUAAAGCGCGCGUAGGUGGUUCAGCAAGUUGGAUGUGAAAUCCCCGGGCUCAACCUGGGAACUGCAUCCAAAACUACUGAGCUAGAGUACGGUAGAGGGUGGUGGAAUUUCCUGUGUAGCGGUGAAAUGCGUAGAUAUAGGAAGGAACACCAGUGGCGAAGGCGACCACCUGGACUGAUACUGACACUGAGGUGCGAAAGCGUGGGGAGCAAACAGGAUUAGAUACCCUGGUAGUCCACGCCGUAAACGAUGUCGACUAGCCGUUGGGAUCCUUGAGAUCUUAGUGGCGCAGCUAACGCGAUAAGUCGACCGCCUGGGGAGUACGGCCGCAAGGUUAAAACUCAAAGGAAUUGACGGC